Molecule: ribosomal RNA, 429 nt
Filed under: Bacteroidota bacterium
Lineage: Bacteria; Pseudomonadati; Bacteroidota
Description: Bacteroidetes bacterium partial 16S ribosomal RNA
Rfam family: Bacterial small subunit ribosomal RNA
Source: RNAcentral
UAGGGAAUCUUCGGCAAUGGGGGGAACCCUGACCGAGCAACGCCGCGUGAGUGAAGAAGGUUUUCGGAUCGUAAAGCUCUGUUGUUAAGGAAGAACGAGUGUGAGAAUGGAAAGUUCAUACUGUGACGGUACUUAACCAGAAAGGGACGGCUAACUACGUGCCAGCAGCCGCGGUAAUACGUAGGUCCCGAGCGUUGUCCGGAUUUAUUGGGCGUAAAGCGAGCGCAGGCGGUUAGAAAAGUCUGAAGUGAAAGGCAGUGGCUCAACCAUUGUAGGCUUUGGAAACUGUUUAGCUUGAGUGCAGGAGGGGAGAGUGUAAUUCCAUGUGUAGCGGUGAAAUGCGUAGAUAGAUGGAGGAACACCGGUGGCGAAAGCGGCUCUCUGGUCUGUAACUGACUCUGAGGCUCGAAAGCGUGGGGAGCGAACAGG